Non-coding RNA from Eubacterium sp. An11, 74 nucleotides. The record is from Rfam. Lineage: Bacteria; Bacillati; Bacillota; Clostridia; Eubacteriales; Eubacteriaceae.
GUGGGCAUAGCUCAGCUGGAUAGAGCGUCUGGCUACGGACCAGAAGGUCGGGGGUUCGAAUCCUCUUGCCCACG